CCUACGGGAGGCAGCAGUGGGGAAUAUUGCACAAUGGGGGAAACCCUGAUGCAGCAACGCCGCGUGAAGGAAGACGGUUUUCGGAUUGUAAACUUCUGUUCUUAGUGAAGAAUAAUGACGGUAGCUAAGGAGCAAGCCACGACUAACUACGUGCCAGCAGCCGCGGUAAUACGUAGGUGGCAAGCGUUGGCCGGAUUUACUGGGUGUAAAGGGAGCGCAGGCGGGAAGCCAAGUCAGCUGUGAAAACCACGGGCUUAACUUGUAGACUGCAGUUGAAACUGGUCUUCUUGAGUGAAGUAGGGGUUGGCGGAAUUUCGGGUGUAGCGGUGAAAUGCGUAGAGAUUCUGCGGAACACCGGUUGCGAAGGCGGCCAACUGGGCUUUAACUGACGCUGAGGCUCGAAAAUGUGGGGAGCAAACAGGAUUAGAUACCCCGGUAGUC
RNAcentral lists this ribosomal RNA (441 nucleotides) under uncultured bacterium. RNAcentral describes it as "partial 16S ribosomal RNA". It matches the Rfam family "Bacterial small subunit ribosomal RNA", at positions 338 to 795 of the family's 1533-position model. The record is from RNAcentral.